RNAcentral lists this ribosomal RNA (638 nucleotides) under uncultured bacterium. Its description in RNAcentral is "bacterial SSU rRNA". It matches the Rfam family "Bacterial small subunit ribosomal RNA", at positions 88 to 724 of the family's 1533-position model. The record is from RNAcentral.
AUGGCGACCGGCGCACGGGUGAGUAACACGUAUCCAACCUGCCGUCUACUCUUGGACAGCCUUCUGAAAGGAAGAUUAAUACAAGAUGGCAUCAUGAGUCCGCAUGUUCACAUGAUUAAAGGUAUUCCGGUAGACGAUGGGGAUGCGUUCCAUUAGAUAGUAGGCGGGGUAACGGCCCACCUAGUCUUCGAUGGAUAGGGGUCCUGAGAGGAAGGUCCCCCACAUUGGAACUGAGACACGGUCCAAACUCCUACGGGAGGCAGCAGUGAGGAAUAUUGGUCAAUGGGCGAGAGCCUGAACCAGCCAAGUAGCGUGAAGGAUGACUGCCCUAUGGGUUGUAAACUUCUUUUAUAAAGGAAUAAAGUCGGGUAUGGAUACCCGUUUGCAUGUACUUUAUGAAUAAGGAUCGGCUAACUCCGUGCCAGCAGCCGCGGUAAUACGGAGGAUCCGAGCGUUAUCCGGAUUUAUUGGGUUUAAAGGGAGCGUAGAUGGAUGUUUAAGUCAGUUGUGAAAGUUUGCGGCUCAACCGUAAAAUUGCAGUUGAUACUGGAUAUCUUGAGUGCAGUUGAGGCAGGCGGAAUUCGUGGUGUAGCGGUGAAAUGCUUAGAUAUCACGAAGAACUCCGAUUGCGAAGGCAG